This 253-nucleotide ribosomal RNA is filed under the name uncultured bacterium. Its description in RNAcentral is "partial 16S ribosomal RNA". It matches the Rfam family "Bacterial small subunit ribosomal RNA", at positions 524 to 776 of the family's 1533-position model. The record is from RNAcentral.
UACGUAGGGUGCAAGCGUUGUCCGGAAUUAUUGGGCGUAAAGGGCUCGUAGGCGGUCCAUCGCGUCGGGAGUGAAAAGCUGGGGCUCAACCCCAGUCCUGCUUCCGAUACGGGUGGACUAGUGGUAUGCAGGGGAGAACGGAAUUCCUGGUGUAGCGGUGAAAUGCGCAGAUAUCAGGAGGAACACCAGUGGCGAAGGCAGCUCGCUGGAACGGUACUGACGCUGAGGCGCGAAAGCGUGGGGAGCGAACAGG